Molecule: long non-coding RNA, 2463 nt
Organism: Piliocolobus tephrosceles (Ugandan red Colobus)
Lineage: Eukaryota; Metazoa; Chordata; Mammalia; Primates; Cercopithecidae
Source: Ensembl
AUGGAAACGAAAAUGGUCUCAAAGAACUACUUGUAUUUAAAAAUUGAUGAUAUGGAAAAAUGUUUUUAUAUUUUAAAAAAUUUAUAUUUGUUUGUUAUGUCAGGUACGAUUAAGUAUACCCGUGCAAUAUAUGAAGAUAUGUUUGAUAUGUUGUUAAGUAUAGUAGAGUUGCACGUACAUUCUGAUUUUGAUGCAACUGCAUAUGCUAAUACUACUGUCGAAACAGAGGCCAACAAUACCAACAAUACCAACAAUACCAACAAUACCAACAAUACNNNNNNNNNNAACAAUACCAACAAUACCAACAAUACCAACAAUACUAACAGUACCAAUAAUGUAAAGGUACGGACACGUUAUGGACUAAUUUUAAAAAAAAUGCUAUGUCUAACAUUACAUUUUAUUAAUAACAUAUAUGUAAUAAUAUUUAAUAAUAACGAAGAAGGAGAAAAUAACUAUGUUACGAGAAAAAACAGAUUCUAUGAACUGGUAGAAAAAUUGUUUUACAACUAUGUAAUUAAAUUGAAAAAAAAUGCAAAGGUUUUACUUAGGUUAAAUGAAAACAGAAUUAAAUUACGUAAACAAAAAAUAUAUAAAAAUAUGUAUAGCCAAAAAAGCAAAAAAGAAUUAAAACAAUAUCUUAUCCAUUUAAAUAUAAUAAGUGAAUUAUUUGAAUUAGUAAUAAAAGGAGUGUACCUAAAUGAAAAAGAAAUAAACAGAAUUAUUAUUAAUAUAUGUUAUGAUAAUAGUUUAUGUAGUAUAUUCUAUCACAUCGAUUACUAUAAUUUAAAUAGUUUGAUAAAUAAAUAUUUACAUUUGUAUAAAAAAAAAAAAGAUAAUAUUAAAAAAAUAAAUAAAAUUUUAAAAUUCAAUAGAAAUGUAUCAAACGAAAGGAAUAUAUACAUAAAUGACAACACGUUAAUAAAUAACAUGUUACAUAUAUUAACAGUACAAGAAAUUAAAUAUGAAUAUGUUUUAAAUGUAGAUACGGGUACACAAAAUUAUAAUACUGCUAUUAGGAAGAAUAAACAUAUAAGUGGUGUAAGUGGUGUAAGUGGUGUAAGUGGUGUAAGUGGUGUAAGUGGUGUAAGCGGUGUAAACGGUGUAAGUGGUGUAAGUGGUGUAAGCGGUGUAAACGGUGUAAACGGUGUAAACGGUGUACGCGAUGUACUAACAGAAAGUAUAUUCGAUGAACGUGACAAUGCAUUUAUACUUAAAAAUUUAAUUCAAAAAAAAAUAAAUCUAUUAGACAACGAUACAGAUGAUUAUGUUAGUAAUAAAUUGUUUGAAAAUAAAGGAAAAAAUUAUGGAACUGAAAACUUUUUGUUUGAUAUUAAAAAUUAUAAGAACUGUACAAGAGGACUUACAUAUACAUAUAUGUUCCCUUUUGACAAUACAUCAUAUAAUGGAAUAAAUUCAAAAAAUAAUGACAUUAUCAGUUAUGCUUAUAAUGCCAGUGUAUCUACUUACAACAAUGACAACCUCCUUUACAAUAAAUACAUAAGUGUUAUUCACAGUAAUAAUAAUAAUACUGAUAAUAAAAAAUAUAUUUUAAACGAUUUAAUACAAGAUGAUGGGUUAAUGUGGAAAAAUAAAAAUGUAUUCUCAUACAUAAAUCAGGAUGAUAUUAAAAACCAGAAAGAGUAUCGUUUAUUAAAAAAAAAAAUUAAUUCAACCAUUGCAAAUAAUCAGGCUAAUAUAUAUGGUUUUAAAAAAAAAGAAAAUAUUAUUCAAGGUAAUACGAUGGAUUAUUCAUCUAACUUUUUAGGAAAUAAUAAUAAUAAUAAUAAUAAUACUACAUCCGUUACUCAUAGUAGUACUUAUAAUCCACUAAUAAAUACAAAUCCUAAUCAGGGUAUACAUAAUUUUACAAAUAUUGACAAUGUCAAAACUGGAGAAAAUAGGAGUUCGACUUUUACAGUAGCACCAGUAGUACCAUCACUACCUUUAACAUGUUGCUGUAACAAUUCGGAUAUUUAUUAUUCCAAAAUAGAGAAUGAAAAACGAGAAGAAAUGAUAAAAAAAGUAAGAAAAAAAGAAAAAACAGAAAACGCCAGUUAUAAUUAUAAUUGUAACAUUUAUACUGAUUAUAACAACCAUUCAAGUUAUGAUUGUUUUGGUAAUUACUUUGGUGAGGAUAAUUUUGAAAAUUUGUUUUUUCAAAAAUAUUUUAAAAACGAGAUAGAAUGUAUGAAAUAUAUAAAUUUAACAUUAAGUGUUAAUGAUAGCAAAAUAAGAUUACUUUUAGUUUUAUACAAACUUAUAAUUAUAUUGAAAUAUAAAAAAAUAUUAUCCAAUGAAAUAUAUAAAAAAGAAGAACAAACAUUUUUAAAAUUAAAUAAUAUAAAAAAAAAAAACACCUUUUCUUUUUUUUAUACACGAAUCUAUGGUUACUCUUAUGACAACACCCAAACAAAUAAAAAAAAAUUCACUUUAUUAUAUUAUUAUUGUUACAAUUUUGAUUAA